This is a long non-coding RNA of Perognathus longimembris pacificus (Pacific pocket mouse), 1419 nucleotides long. RefSeq lists it as uncharacterized. NCBI's taxonomy places the organism in Eukaryota, Metazoa, Chordata, Mammalia, Rodentia, Heteromyidae. The record is from RefSeq and is a predicted model, not a curated record. The transcript has 5 exons.
AUGGAGUUAGAACUCAGGGCCUUCUGAUUCCCAAACAGAUGACCUACCCUGGAGCCACGCUGCUUGCGUCCAUGGUUUUUCUCUCUAGCGUGACUUCUUUCAUGACUCAGAAGGUGAUGUAGUUGAGUGAAGGCUUUAUCACAAGCUUAUAGCUUAUAGCGAAGCCAUGGGCAGAGAGGCCAGACUGAGCAUAUCUGCACUUUGCCCACUGACAGCACUCCUGCGGCCUGAGGAAGACCAUCUGCCUCCUGAGGUUUUACUCAGAGUAAACCAUCCGCUACGAGGGGGCGUGUCGGUGGGCGGGGCCGGGGCGGAGCUGUCUUCCAGAGGCGGCGCAGCGGCAGGAAGCUCCCGAGCUUCCCACGGAGUCAGCGACCCCGGAGAAAGCUCCCGGGACUGGGCCGGCCGAGUGGCAGGACUCAGCGUUCUGAUUCCGGCGACUUCCGGGCGGCGGAGCUCUGCCCCUCCUUUCUUUUCUCUAGGUCAGGUCUCCUUCUGCCUGCGCUGGACCUGCGCACGCGGGGGACUUCCGCAUCGGGCCCUCCAGCCUCCCGCAGCGUCCCGCAGCGCCCUGGCGGGCAGCAGCCUGGGUGGUAGCGGCGCGCUUGGUGCUCGGCGCCAGCACCUGCUACUGCCAUCUACAGGCUGAGGCGGGGCCCGCGGCGAGGCGGCCGGGGGCAUCGGCUGAGCCCCUCUGGAUCUGCAGGCUCUGUUACUGUCAAGGUCCCAUCUUCUCCUCAAACCUAUUUACAGUUAUCAGGAAAAGAGGUUGAUAUGAACCCAGAAGUCAAUGUUCAGGAAGUGGCUGAAGAUGAUAAAGAUGAUGGUGUAACAAUUAUUGAUCAGGUCUCCUUCUGGCUGCGCUGGACCUGCGCACGCGGGGGACUUCCGCAUCGGGCCCUCCAGCCUCCCGCAGCGUCCCGCAGCGCCCUGGCGGGCAGCAGCCUGGGUGGUAGCGGCGCGCUUGGUGCUCGGCGCCAGCACCUGCUACUGCCAUCUACAGGCUGAGGCGGGGCCCGCGGCGAGGCGGCCGGGGGCAUCGGCUGAGCCCCUCUGGAUCUGCAGGCUCUGUUACUGUCAAGGUCCCAUCUUCUCCUCAAACCUAUUUACAGUUAUCAGGAAAAGAGGUUGAUAUGAACCCAGAAGUCAAUGUUCAGGAAGUGGCUGAAGAUGAUAAAGAUGAUGGUGUAACAAUUAUUGAUCAGGUCUCCUUCUGGCUGCGCUGGACCUGCGCACGCGGGGGACUUCCGCAUCGGGCCCUCCAGCCUCCCGCAGCGUCCCGCAGCGCCCUGGCGGGCAGCAGCCUGGGUGGUAGCGGCGCGCUUGGUGCUCGGCGCCAGCACCUGCUACUGCCAUCUACAGGCUGAGGCGGGGCCCGCGGCGAGGCGGCCGGGGGCAUCGGCUGAGCCCCUCUGGAUC